UACGUAGGGUGCGAGCGUUGCCCGGAUUUAUUGGGCGUAAAGGGCGCGUAGGCGGUCACGCACGUCCGUUGUGAAAUCGCUCGGCUCAACUGGGGAGUGUCGUGCGAUACGGGCGGACUGGAGGCCAGUAGGGGGAUGCGGAAUUCCGGGUGUAGUGGUGGAAUGCGUAGAGAUCCGGAGGAACACCAGCGGCGAAGGCGGCCUUCUGGACGGUGACUGACGCUGAGACGCGAAAGCGUGGGGAGCAAACAGG
RNAcentral lists this ribosomal RNA (253 nucleotides) under uncultured bacterium. Its description in RNAcentral is "partial 16S ribosomal RNA". It matches the Rfam family "Bacterial small subunit ribosomal RNA", at positions 524 to 776 of the family's 1533-position model. The record is from RNAcentral.